Molecule: long non-coding RNA, 437 nt
Organism: Eriocheir sinensis (Chinese mitten crab)
Lineage: Eukaryota; Metazoa; Arthropoda; Malacostraca; Decapoda; Varunidae
Exons: 3
Source: RefSeq, a predicted model, not a curated record
UUGCUCUCAGUGCUCGAUGUCUCUCUGGGCUCGGCUAAUCUUCACCUUGUCCUUGGGGGUCUCCGCCUCGCCAGUCUCCAUGGCAAACAUCUUCAUCUUCUCCUUGAAGACAUGACUUGGGCAGGCGCUGCCAGCUUACCUGUACACCUCCUGUGCCCCGAUCACACCUGGUGUGCUCCCACUAACGUUGCGUGUCGGAGAGGAGUUUAACAUCGUCUCGGCCUCGUUGAUGAAGUUCUGAAGAAAAAAUCAUUUUUGAGACAUCAGUUUGCUGUCACUGGCCCAGCAUUCACCAUCAAAAGAACCAGGUGAGUAAGAGCUGAAGACCACUCACUGUUGAGGGAAGGGACCGACUUGGAGGCUUGGAUGCGGGGGGCCUGGUGGAGGUGUGAAGGUGCAGGGGUGUCCUGGCCGUGCUCCAGCACCUUGGAUGGCAG